AGAGUUUGAUCCUGGCUCAGGAUGAACGCUGGCGGCGUGGAUAAGGCAUGCAAGUCUAAAGGUUUGGGCGCAAGUUCAAACCUUGGCAGACGAGGUAGUAAUACGCAGGUACGCACCCCUAAGUCGGGCAUAACUAGUCGAAAGAUUAGAUAAUUCUCGAUAGUCUCUCAAGUUAAUUCUUGGGAGUAAAGAUUUAUCGCUUAGGGAGCGGCCUGUGCGCUAUUAGCUAGUUGGUAGGGUAACGGCCUACCAAGGCGAAGAUGGCUAGGGGACCUGAGAGGGUGACCCCCACCGAUGGAACUGAGAUACGGUCCAUACACCUACGGGUGGCUGCAGUCGAGAAUCUUCCGCAAUGGACGAAAGUCUGACGGAGCGACGCCGCGUGGUAGAUGAAGUCUUUCGGGAUGUAAAUACCUUUUAUGGGGGACGAAGUUUAUUGACGGUACCCCAUGAAUAAGGAGUUGCUAAACUCGUGCCAGCAGCAGCGGUAAUACGAGUGCUCCAAGCGUUAUCCGGAAUCAUUGGGCGUAAAGGGUGUGUAGGCGGUUAUGUUAGUCUUGUGUCAAAUUCUUCGGCUUAACCGGGGGCUCGCACAAGAAACGGCAUAACUAGAGGAUGGGAGAGGUGUAUGGAACUCAUAGUGUAGGGGUGAAAUCCGUUGAUAUUAUGGGGAACACCAAAUGCGAAGGCAGUACACUGGCCCACUCCUGACGCUGAAACACGAAAGCGUGGGUAGCGAAUGGGAUUAGAUACCCCCGUAGUCC
RNAcentral lists this ribosomal RNA (764 nucleotides) under uncultured bacterium. RNAcentral describes it as "bacterial SSU rRNA". It matches the Rfam family "Bacterial small subunit ribosomal RNA", at positions 8 to 796 of the family's 1533-position model. The record is from RNAcentral.